CAAGGUCACCGUGAAUCGUGGCCUGAUGGGGUAGAUCCAUGAUCCGCUGCAUCCUUGUACCUCGCUUCCUCCUUGCAACCAGCCGCCCAGCAGGCGUAUCCACCACCCGUUUCAAGGAGCAAGUAGAUGUCUGAUCGUGAAACCGGAACCGUCAAAUGGUUCAACGAUGCCAAGGGCUUCGGCUUCAUCAGCCGCGAGAAUGGUGAAGACGUGUUCGUGCAUUUCCGCGCCAUCCAGACCCAGGGCUUCAAGAGCCUGAAGGAAGGCCAGAAGGUCAGCUUCACCGUCGUGCAGGGCCAGAAGGGCCUGCAGGCCGAUGCGGUGCAGCCGGUCUGAGUCUAAAUCGCCGAACCGCGCCCCGGCGCGUGCUCCCAUGAAAAAGCCCGGCUGACGCCGGGCUUUUUCUU
This 407-nucleotide small RNA is filed under the name Pseudoxanthomonas sp. Root65. RNAcentral's name for it is "cspA thermoregulator". It matches the Rfam family "cspA thermoregulator". Lineage: Bacteria; Pseudomonadati; Pseudomonadota; Gammaproteobacteria; Lysobacterales; Lysobacteraceae. The record is from Rfam by way of RNAcentral.